RNAcentral lists this unclassified non-coding RNA (270 nucleotides) under uncultured fungus. RNAcentral's name for it is "partial contains small subunit ribosomal RNA, internal transcribed spacer 1, and 5.8S ribosomal RNA". The stretch from base 1 to 73 matches the Rfam family "Eukaryotic small subunit ribosomal RNA", at positions 1759 to 1831 of the family's 1831-position model. Lineage: Eukaryota; Fungi. The record is from RNAcentral.
GCAAACUUGGUCAUUUAGAGGAAGUAAAAGUCGUAACAAGGUUUCCGUAGGUGAACCUGCGGAAGGAUCAUUACUGGGUUUAUAGGGUACUUGUACCCACCACCCGCCCUCUGUCAUACGCAAUAAUCUUUUCGGCUCUGACGAGUCCCUAGGACUUGUCGGGCCGGCAUUGCAAACUCACAAGAAAUUUGAAGUCUGAAAAUAUUUUUAAAUCUAAAAAAAACUUUCAACAACGGAUCUCUUGGUUCUGGCAUCGAUGAAGAACGCAGC